UGGUGGAGUGAUUUGUCUGGUUAAUUCCGUUAACGAACGAGACCUCAGCCUGCUAAAUAGUCACGCGAUGUCUUUGCCUCGUGCGAUGGCAUCGUGGCAGUACUUCUUAGAGGGACUAUCGGUGUUUAGCCGAUGGAAGUUUGAGGCAAUAACA
Molecule: ribosomal RNA, 154 nt
Filed under: uncultured eukaryote
Lineage: Eukaryota
Description: partial 18S ribosomal RNA
Rfam family: Eukaryotic small subunit ribosomal RNA
Source: RNAcentral